GAGGUACAGCCCCGUGGUGGAGGCCGGCUCAGACAUGGUCUUCCGGUGGACCAUCAACGACAAGCCGUCCCUGACCUUCCAGAACGUGGUCUUCAACGUCAUUUAUCAGAGCGCGGCAGUCUUCAAGCUCUCACCCGAGGACGCUGCCAUGGCUGUGGGUGAGUGGAGGGAGGGAUGCCAAGCAGGGCCAGGCCUCUCACCUGCCACCUGGGCCCACUGACGCCUGUCCCUGCAGCUGACGGCCUCCAACCACGUGAGCAACGUCACCGUGAACUACAACGUCACCGUGGAGCGGAUGAACAGGAUGCAGGGCCUGCGGGUCUCCACAGUGCCGGCCGUGCUGUGCCCCAAUGCCACGCUGGCACUGACGGCGGGCGUGCUGGUGGACUCGGCCGUGGAGGUGGCCUUCCUGUGGACAUUUGGGGAUGGGGAGCAGGCCCUCCACCAGUUCCAGCCUCCGUACAACAAGUCCUUCCCGGUUCCAGACCCCUCGGUGGCCCAGGUGCUGGUGGAGCACAACGUCACGCACACCUACGCUGCCCCAG
This 545-nucleotide small RNA is filed under the name Pongo abelii (Sumatran orangutan). RNAcentral's name for it is "processed transcript". The record is from RNAcentral. Lineage: Eukaryota; Metazoa; Chordata; Mammalia; Primates; Hominidae.